UGUAGAGAAGCGUGGGCUUGAUGCAACGUGUUUGUUAUGUCAUGAGGCAUAUAAAUAUCGGAAGCGGUCGUCAGAGCUGGUCUUUAUGCUUCGUGUGUCGAGGCAGGUUGACCAGUGGUCUGUUAAUGAUCUAUCAUGGAAUUACGAGCAGCUUUUGUCAACGCUUCAGUAUCCACUCAUGGGAUACGUUCCAACUUCAUAAUGCAGCCACUGAGGGUGAGAAUUUGUUUACAUAAUACAUUUUUAGUUUUCUACUAAACUUGUCAGAAUCUUGCCUUUGUGAGGAAUAUGACAUUAAAGUAGCUUGUUUCUAAUGUUAAUGAAAUUAAUUAUAUUUUUGACACCUCAGUAAAAUUUUUGGUGGAGUUAAAAUCAUUAAUACAGAAGGCAUUUAGUGAAGUGUCAUUCUGUGCUGGAACAAAAAUGAAAAUUUUACACUGGAAAAUGUGAUCACAAAGAAUGAAGACACCAAUAAUUUAAGUGUGACUAUUAUGAAUGAAUGAACAUUUGUUGACUGUAAAGGGUGUCAAAAUACUGUCCAAUAGAAGAAAGUUCCUCUAUAGUCUGAUUAAAACUUGUCAUUUGGCAUUGCCAUAUUGUUUUCUAAAUCUUACCUUGGCAAAGGUGCAAGCAACAUAAAAUAAGCUCUAAACACAUACAGAACUUCUUUAUGCUUGCUGCAACUUGAGCCUGUUAAAUAAGAUGGGCAACACAGAUUGCACAAGUACAUCACACUACUUGAAGUGCAGCUGAGCUGAUGAUUUUGACACAUUGAUACUUAUGUUUUUGGCAGUUUGGCACCUGCCACUUUGAUGUUGAAAGCUCUAGUUGGAGGACCAAAGUUCAAAAUGUCAAGUGUUGACUAAAAAGAAAUUAUAAUCAGGCUGUAGACAUGACCUUUCUAUUGACUUUUCAAAUGUGAAAUUAAUAGGAUUAAGCUAUAGGACCAGAAAGUGAAUGUGUUCACUCGAGAAUGAAAAAAAUGUAAAUGUUGUGUAUAGAACUUGGAUGGAGAAAGCAUGUUUUUGUCUGGUCACAAGAAGUAAAAAGCCAUUUAUAAACUUCAGAACAUGGCAGCUGUAAUUUUUAUCGUGUUUUCAUUGUGGCAGAGCUGGUGAUGAAUCCAGAAAAAAAAUCUGAAUAUUUAAUGUAGUUUGUAUGCUGGUUGUUGAAGAUUAACAGCUAAAACUUCAUACUUUACUAAAAGGAAAAUAGUAAUACUUGAAUAUUUGCUAGAUAAAAAGCGAACAUUAUAUGAUCAGAGAAUAGUAGUAGUAGGAAUAAUGUUAGUCUUGCAGCUUAAAGAAGCAAAUCAAGAAAUUUGGUCUACAUUAGUCCAAUAUUAAUCUUUAUCAGUGGUUUAAUUUAUUGUACCUGACUUUUUUCUGCUGUAGACCUAGAAGGUUCAGUUGAUAACUGUAUUUCAGUGAGUUUGUUAGUUUACCAGUUUUUAUAUGAUCUUAAAAAAAGGUGAUCGUAGUGAAAUAAUUAAAUUUUUUGAAGAUUUGAGAUGUAUAAACCAUCCAAAUAUUAAAUGGCUUAUUUUCAUGAAAGUAAGCAGUUAGUGCUACUUUCUGUACAGUGUUUGAGAAGUGGUGGCCAGGGAUAUAACAGGGAUGAUAAUUCAAAACAAAAAGCCAGGUAAACAUGGGUUCUAAAAUGCAUACCUUGAGAGGAUCAAUUCUUUCUUAGAUACUGUGAAACAAGCCUCUUGUACUGGAGGCACUUUGCUUUCCAUAUUUUGGAAAGAGGCAGUAUGGACCAAAACGAGAAAAACGUCCAGUAAACCUGUGCUCUAAAAUGAAGUUCUAACCACUUCUUAAUUAGAAGAGUUGUUUCAAAGUAGGAAGAUGAACAAGAGCGCAUGUUUCCAGAAUGAGAUUUUCACACUGCAGCGUAGUAUGCUGAUAUGAAACUUCCUGGCAGAUUAAAACUGCGUGCCAGACUGAGACUCAAACUCGGGACCUUUGCCUUUUGCAGGAAAGUGCUCUACCAACUGAGCUACCCAAGCAAGACUUGUGACCUGCCUUCAGUGUCAAUCCUGCCAGUACCUCAUCUCCUACUACCUUACAAACUUCACAGCUUGGUCUGACUCAGUUUUAAUCUGCCGGGAAGAUUUUUAGAGAAUGUGUUUUUGUUUUGAAUGAUCAUUCCUGUCAUAUCCCUGAAUAUUGACCAUCAUUUCUGAAACACCCUGUAAAAUUCCCAGGUGACACUUGUCAUAGCAUGGGGACCAGUUCUUUUUGGAUAUCAGUCUAGAAAUUGACAUGCAUUGGUCAGCUAGUGUAUUUUUCUUUAUUCUUAUAAAGCAGUUUUCCUAUGAACUGCUACUUACACUUGGUACCAGUUUAAAUUAUUUUGAAGAGUUGCUCACUUCCUGACUUGAAUAUCAUAGCAAGAGUAAAUAAACACAUUCCACAUCCCUGAAUGUUCUGAUUCAUAAUGGCAUCCUGUCUUCCUGCCAUAAUGUAUGUGUGAAACCCUGGUCUGAUGUAAGAGGGUGCCUGAUAGCCCUAAUCAGAUUAAACAUCAAAUUGUGUAGUUAAUAUCUUUAUUUUUGUUUAGGGUGUUCAGGGAGCAAAACAAUGUGCCAGUUUCACAGCCAACAACCAUAUGCCUAUUCACAUUUUAUCAACACACAAUGCUAUUCAUACACAGCAAGAAACUGAUGGUAAAUAAUAAUUCUUUUUUGAAAAAGAAAAAGGUAAAAGGGGAAGAAAACGGACUAAUGUGCUUAAUGCCAGCCUCAAUGACAUGUAGUGAAUUUUCAGUUUGUAAGAACUAUGAAAGACAUGAGAACUAAUAGUUCUGGAAAAGUUACUAGCUAAAACAAACAUGCACAGUACAUUGUUCACGUUGCUGGAUCAUCUGGACACAGCAAACAUGAUCUAUCAUGCUUAGGAAUGUAUAAUUUAUAGACUCUUCACUAAAAAAUCAAAUUUGGCAUUCUGCUGUUUGAUCAGUUCUAUGUUGUGCAUUUAGAUUUUAAGUGAACCUGGUUUCAAAACUACAUUGUAAUACUGUGUAUAAUAGCAGUCUAAGCUCUGGGUGGAAGGGGGAAAUCUCUGUAUACAGCUUGGGUUGUCUACUGGAUAAGGAGUUUUUGAACAAAAAGUUGGAAGUAUAUAUUGGCACAGGAUAUUCUAAAAAACCUAUAUGGGCCCAACUUGGAUACCUUUGGAUGUACACCUUGGAAGUAGUACUGUGGAGAAACCUUUCACAUAUGUGAUGUGGAGAUGUGUUAAGAAUCUUCUACAUUAGUGUAAGGUUCAAAUCUAUUAAAGAAAACAAAUGAGUAAAAUGUUUUUGAGUUAAAUUGUGGAGUUAUGCAAUAACUAUGAUAGUAUUGCACUUGGCCCCAUGUGGCUAUUACAGAAAACACACUGUGAUAUUACAGUAAAAUCAAAUGGUGACUAAGGAAAACAUAUUGCACUGUGGAAGAUUUAGACGUGUGUGUGUGUGUGUGUGUGUGUGUGUGUGUGUGUGUGUGUGUGUGUGUGUGUGUGUGUGUGUACACUAUAGUACCUUUACUUCCAGGUGCAAUUUUGUGGUAGACUAAUAGAACUGUGGGCUAGGGAACAUCAUUUAGAAACACAAACCCGACAACAAUCAAGGCCUACAUCCAGUAAUCUCAAAAGUAUCACUAUUCUGGGAUAAAUGUCUACCGGCAACACAUUGACAGGCACUUCUGUUUGAUUAUAUUAUUUGCACACGGUCACUUUUGAAAUGUGACUAAACAUGUCAUCUAAAUAAAUGUUUGUGUAAUUUGUGAUAUUAUGGUGUAUUAUGCUUUCUGUAACUGCCCUAUUCUUAACACCUUAUUUAUUUCAGCAUCAAUUAAAGAAAAUGCGUGGAAUAUGUAUAAGGCCAAUUAGUAAUAUCAGAGGUCUGUGUAGCAGAAUCAUUUGACUGUCAUCAUCUGCUGUAAAAGUUCUAAAAUAUAGUUCCUUAUUUCAUCAUUCAAAGUAUCUCUAAAUGGCUGCCUAACAGUGUCUUGGUAUCUUGGGAAGACAUUGGGCUUGUUUGAGUUGGGUUCAAAUCUGCAUACAGUAAUUUAUUUCCUAUGGUUUUUCUAAGGUAAAUGAUGUGAUAGUUAAUUUUAAUAGAACGAUCAGUCUGUCACCACUACCAAGAUUUCAAGGGAUCGCCAGUAACGGGUGAGGGUGGGGGAGGCACUUUAAGUGUUUUCAUUUAAGGUACAGAUAACUCACCACAGGUCGCACGUUAUUUGGUUUAUGACCAGUGAAACUCUUCAGACACGAGAACCUAUGUUAAAUCCCAGUACUAGGAUGAAAAAUACUAAGAUUUCAUGUUUCACUUUGAGACUUUCUGGCACAUUAAAACUGUGUACUGGACUGGGACCUGCUGUUGUUUUUCUAUUUGUCAUUAAAUUAAUAUUGAUUGUUGGCCAUCACCCUUCUCAGUGCAUUUCUGCACUUGGUUUACAUGCUUGCAUUGCAAGCUACUGAUGUGCACUACUAUGAACUGGAAUGUGGCUAUACAUAGUGAAAAGUCCCAUUACAGCUGAGACCUAGUUGGCUUUGUUGAAUAAUAUAUAGUCAGUGAAAUGAGAGUAGUAAUGAUAGGGGUUUCAUAAUUAUGCUGGAAUGUAUGAACAUGCCACUGUUCAAACUAAUGGCUAGUGGUUCUUAUGCAGUCUGUGGCUAGAGUGGCCAGCGUUUGCCCCAGUGAACCCAGGUUUCAUGCAUGUUCUAUUUGAAGUGUCUUGCAGGGCCCACUUAGUCUGAAAUGGACAAUUUAGAAAGGGCCUGAAAAAGCAUAACAUAUUUAAAGAAUAAUGUAGCAAUGCAGUACUACUGCUGCAAUGGAGGUAAAAAAGUUAAAUAAAAUUAGUGUCGUUAUGGUGUGACAUCAGAUUUUUGUAUGCUUAACUUUUUGCUUUCAUGUUGGUUACUUAAUGAAAUUUAAUCCUACAAUGUAGGCUUUCACAGCCAGGGUUUACUUCAGUUAACUCUUGGGCUGAGGUGCUAUGGUAAAUAUGUAAAGCUAUUCCCAAUAUUUCAUCUCUGGCUCUAAGAAACAUCUCUGGUGGUAAAAUGGCACAGUUAGCUGGAAGUGAAAUGUCACAAUAGUUUAGACCAUGGCCUCUCAGCUUAAAAGUUUUAACUGUAGUAAAUGAAUUUUGGUUAACUUUCUCAUUACUGAGAUAGUCAUCCUAGCUUGCUUUAAGGUGGCACCAGCAUAGUAAAAUGUGCAUCUGUUUAUGUGAAAGAGGCCAUUGCAAUAAGUUUGAGCAGCAAGUUAAGAAGUUUCAUUUUGUGUUACUGGUCUGAGUUUUCGACAUGAACUUUAAUGAGUAACAUGUAAAGGGUCCAUGCCAUUGCAAUGGUUUUAAAAUGCCUAAGAGUGAACAUGUAAAAUUGUCUUCAGGAAAGUGAUAUUACUGGUAAAUUCUGAGUAGUACAUUAUUUGAAUUUAUGCAGAUACUUAAACAACAUUGUUAUAAAAAUUAUUUUGGGUGUUGUUCCUCUGGUGUAAUGUACUAACAAUUUCAAUGAUUUGUAAUUGAAGAGCUGAUUGCAAUGUAUUAUGCACUGUGUGUGUGUGUGUGUGUGUGUGUGUGUGUGUGUGUGUGUGUGUGUGUUGAAAUGUAUAUUCAGAUAUUUUCUGUGCAGAAGUUGUAGUGAGAGAGUUAUCCUUUAUAAGGAAUGUUUAACUGUGUUCCAGUAUUUGUGGUGUUUGUCCAGGAAGUUGACUGGAAAUUUAAUCCUGAAAAUAGAUUUAAGGUAUUUUUCUUGUUACUGUCACAUUAAAGUAAGUUAAUUUUGUGAUGUGACCAGGUAUCCAGUGCAGUAUUUGUGGAGCAUAAUUUUGUAGUAAACAUUCCAUUGGUUCGCAUGCUUCCUAGUUACUAAAAGUUUGGCACAAUGUAUCUGAAUGUGUUAAAAUAAACUGAAAUGUUAGGUUCUCUCUAAGUUAGUGGAUUUGGCUCUUUAUUUUAACACAAAGUUGUUGGAGUUGGUGCGUAACUCUUUAAACAUGUGAAAACUUACCCUUGGUCUGUAAAUUUCAGUAUUCAUCUUACAAUUACAAAAAAAAUGUGAUGGAAUUUCAUAGUAAAGCAUGACUUUGGCAGAUUUAUGUAAUAUAGAAUGUCCUGUAACAUUGAUGCCAGUAUUCAGGUUCCAGUGAGUACAAAUGAACUUAGCUGUCUGUAAAUGAAACACAGCUUAACAUUUCUUAUUUUGUAAAUUCUAGUUUACAAAAAUGUAUAUUUAAAAAACUCAUGGUGAAAACUUCAGUACAAGCAAGAUGACAGUGAAUUAAAAUUUAGAGCAUUGUUGAGCCUAUAGAAUUUAUCUGGUUACCUUCCAACUUAUAUUGGAGAUGGUUAUUUGUAUUACAUUUUGUAAUUUUUCCUAUCAUUGUAUAGUUUUAUUUACUGUAAGCUAGAGGCCACAACCUCUUCACAAUUGGUAAAUAUUUUAUGGUGCUGUACUGAACAUAAAAGCCAGCAUUUUUAUAGACAGUGUUGCACAGCUUCAGUGUGUUCAAAGAAAACUGCAAGAGCUGUUAUAAUAUUAGUCAAGCAAAAUUUUCGUCACAGAUUUUGAUUUUUUAAUCAGUGACAUGACGGCUGCUUGUCUGAAAAUAGUUCUCUAAAUAUUCAUUAGGACAACUUUUAGUGCUUUAACUUAGUUCCUUAAACAUGGAUUGUGUGCACAUCUUCAAACAAAAUAGUUUUGGUUACUUAUUUUGAUCCAUUGGCUAAGUGUUAUGCAAAAAAUAUUGUCUAGAGUGUGAAAGAGCUGUUCAGAGGUUAAAAUAGUGCAUUUUUAACAUUUUACAGUUGAUGAUGCUCAGAAUUAUCUACUGAAAUUACUGACUGGCUUAAAUGUUAUGCAUAUUGUAAAGGUUGUGGUCAUAAAUUUUCAACCUAAUUUGUUGGAAACUGAAAUGGUGCCUGCACCCUAUUUGUCUGCCCUUGAUAUUUUUAAUGAAUAUGUACAUUUUUUGAAUCAUGUUGUGUGAUUUUUAAAUUGUGUAAUAAACUAAUUGAUCAUU
This is a long non-coding RNA of Schistocerca serialis cubense, 7026 nucleotides long. RefSeq lists it as uncharacterized. The transcript is spliced from 2 exons. Lineage: Eukaryota; Metazoa; Arthropoda; Insecta; Orthoptera; Acrididae. The record is from RefSeq and is a predicted model, not a curated record.